CGUCAGAGGCCGCAGAAUGUCGGCGGGUAAACUCCGCCAGGGCCGGAAGGCAGCAACGGUAGCUUGUUCGUCAUUGCUGCGGUUCUCUGGCAUUU
Molecule: signal recognition particle RNA, 95 nt
Filed under: Verrucomicrobiales bacterium
Lineage: Bacteria; Pseudomonadati; Verrucomicrobiota; Verrucomicrobiia; Verrucomicrobiales
Description: signal recognition particle sRNA small type
Rfam family: Bacterial small signal recognition particle RNA
About the family: The signal recognition particle (SRP) is a universally conserved ribonucleoprotein involved in the co-translational targeting of proteins to membranes. Archaeal SRP consists of a 7S RNA and homologues of the eukaryotic SRP19 and SRP54 proteins. In most bacteria, the SRP consists of a 4.5S RNA and the Ffh protein (a homologue of the eukaryotic SRP54 protein).
Source: RNAcentral